AUAUCUCUCUGUACGGGAAGGAUGAGAAGCUUCGACUAAGGUUCGAUUCGAGCGCAGCGAGAAAGCGUUG
RNAcentral lists this small RNA (70 nucleotides) under Salmonella enterica subsp. enterica serovar Muenchen. RNAcentral describes it as "partial RtT sRNA". It matches the Rfam family "RtT RNA", at positions 1 to 70 of the family's 130-position model. Rfam says of the family: This family represents a bacterial cis-regulatory element known as RtT RNA. The exact function of RtT is unknown although it is thought that it may be involved in changing the cellular response in relation to amino acid starvation. The record is from RNAcentral. Lineage: Bacteria; Pseudomonadati; Pseudomonadota; Gammaproteobacteria; Enterobacterales; Enterobacteriaceae. RNAcentral also lists the same sequence under 6 other names.